AUACUUACCUGCAAGGGAGGUGCCAUGAUCACAAAGGUGGUGUUCCCAGGGCGAGGCUUCUCCAUUGCACUCCAAAUGUGCAGACAGACCCCUGCGAUUUCCCCAAUCUGGGAAACUCGACUGCAUAAUUGGUGUGGGGGGGGGGGACUUGUUAAGUUCUCCCCUG
Small nuclear RNA from Onychomys torridus (southern grasshopper mouse), 166 nucleotides. RefSeq annotates it as U1 spliceosomal RNA. The transcript has a single exon. Lineage: Eukaryota; Metazoa; Chordata; Mammalia; Rodentia; Cricetidae. The record is from RefSeq and is a predicted model, not a curated record.